GUGAAUCAUCGAAUCUUUGAACGCACCUUGCGCUCCUUGGUAUUCCGAGGAGCAUGCCUGUUUGAGUGUCAGUAAAUUCUCAACCCCUUCAUUUGGGGCUUGGAUAAUGGAGGUGCUGCCGGCCUUGUACAAGGUUGGCUCCUCUGAAAUGCAUUAGCAGAACGGUUUGCGAUCUGUGACCGGCGUGAUAAUUAUCUAUGCCAGUAGGAUUGCUCUCUGUCUAGUUCAGCUGCCAAUCGUCUGUAACAGACAAUGAUGACUGAAUCUUUGACCUCAAAUCAGGUAGGACUACCCGCUGAACUUAAGCAUAUCAAUAAGCGGAGGA
This 325-nucleotide unclassified non-coding RNA is filed under the name Leucoagaricus sp. RNAcentral's name for it is "partial contains 5.8S ribosomal RNA, internal transcribed spacer 2, and large subunit ribosomal RNA". The stretch from base 1 to 71 matches the Rfam family "5.8S ribosomal RNA", at positions 84 to 154 of the family's 154-position model. The record is from RNAcentral. Lineage: Eukaryota; Fungi; Basidiomycota; Agaricomycetes; Agaricales; Agaricaceae.